UACGUAGGGUGCGAGCGUUGUCCGGAUUUAUUGGGCGUAAAGAGCUCGUAGGCGGUUUGUCGCGUCGGCCGUGAAAUCUCCACGCUUAACGUGGAGCGUGCGGUCGAUACGGGCAGACUUGAGUUCGGUAGGGGAGACUGGAAUUCCUGGUGUAGCGGUGAAAUGCGUAGAUAUCAGGAGGAAUACCGAUGGCGAAGGCAGGUCUCUGGGCUAUAACUGACGCUCAUGCACGAAAGCGUGGGGAGCAAACAGG
RNAcentral lists this ribosomal RNA (253 nucleotides) under uncultured bacterium. RNAcentral's name for it is "partial 16S ribosomal RNA". It matches the Rfam family "Bacterial small subunit ribosomal RNA", at positions 524 to 776 of the family's 1533-position model. The record is from RNAcentral.